This 505-nucleotide ribosomal RNA is filed under the name uncultured bacterium. RNAcentral describes it as "partial 16S ribosomal RNA". It matches the Rfam family "Bacterial small subunit ribosomal RNA", at positions 28 to 507 of the family's 1533-position model. The record is from RNAcentral.
GACGAACGCUGGCGGCGUGCCUAAUACAUGCAAGUAGGACGCACAGUCUAUACCGUAGCUUGCUACACCAUAGGCUGUGAGUUGCGAGCGGGUGAGUAACGCGUAGGUAACCUGCCUAUUAGAGGGGGAUAACUAUUGGAAACGAUAGCUAAUACCGCAUAACAGUAUGUAACACAUGUUAGAUGCUUGAAAGAUGCAAUUGCAUCGCUAGUAGAUGGACCUGCGUUGUAUUAGCUAGUAGGUAGGGUAAUGGCCUACCUAGGCGACGAUACAUAGCCGACCUGAGAGGGUGAUCGGCCACACUGGGACUGAGACACGGCCCAGACUCCUACGGGAGGCAGCAGUAGGGAAUCUUCGGCAAUGGGGGGAACCCUGACCGAGCAACGCCGCGUGAGUGAAGAAGGUUUUCGGAUCGUAAAGCUCUGUUGUUAAGGAAGAACGAGUGUGAGAAUGGAAAGUUCAUACUGUGACGGUACUUAACCAGAAAGGGACGGCUAACUACGUG